This 983-nucleotide ribosomal RNA is filed under the name Enterococcus durans. RNAcentral's name for it is "partial 23S ribosomal RNA". It matches the Rfam family "Bacterial large subunit ribosomal RNA", at positions 1940 to 2925 of the family's 2925-position model. Lineage: Bacteria; Bacillati; Bacillota; Bacilli; Lactobacillales; Enterococcaceae. The record is from RNAcentral.
CUAUAACCAUCCUAAGGUAGCGAAAUUCCUUGUCGGGUAAGUUCCGACCUGCACGAAUGGCGUAACGACUUCCCCACUGUCUCGACCAGGAGCUCGGCGAAAUUGCAGUACGAGUAAAGAUGCUCGUUAAGCGCAGAAGGACGAAAAGACCCCGGGACCUUUACUAUACCUUGGUAUUGGCAUUCGGUGUGGAUUGUGUAGCAUAGGCGGGAGGCCGAGAGGCGCGGUCGCCAGAUCGCGCGGAGCCGUAAGGUGAAAUACCGCUCUGUUCGCAUUGGAUGUCUAACCUCGAACAGUCAUCCUGUUCAGGGACAGUGCCUGGCGGGUAGUUUAACUGGGGCGGUUGCCUCCCAAAGAGUAACGGAGGCGCCCAAAGGUCCGCUCAGCCCGGUUGGCAAUCGGGUGGCGAGUGCAAGUGCACAAGCGGGCUUGACUGCGAGGACGACGGUCCGAGCAGGGACGAAAGUCGGGACUAGUGAUCCGGUGCCGGUGUACGGACGCGGCAUCGCUCAACGGAUAAAAGGUACCCCGGGGAUAACAGGCUGAUCAUUCCCAAGAGUCCAUAUCGACGGGAUGGUUUGGCACCUCGAUGUCGGCUCGUCGCAUCCUGGGGCUGGAGCAGGUCCCAAGGGUUCGGCUGUUCGCCGAUUAAAGCGGCACGCGAGCUGGGUUCAGAACGUCGUGAGACAGUUUGGUCUCUAUCCUCUGCGCUCGUUGGAAUGCUGAGGAGGCCUGCCCAUAGUACGAGAGGACCUGGGUGGACGAACCUCUGGUAUGCCGGUUGUCACGCCAGUGGCACGGCCGGUUGGCUACGUUCGGAAGGGAUAACCGCUGAAAGCAUCUAAGCGGGAAGCCUGCUCCAAGAUAAGCAUUCCGUGGAACCUUCGAGUUCCUGUAGUCCCCAUGCAGAACACGUGGUCGAUAGGCCGGACGUGGAAGCCCCGCGAGGGGUGGAGCCGACCGGUACUAACGGACGAAAGGCA